This 2889-nucleotide long non-coding RNA is filed under the name Homo sapiens (human). RNAcentral describes it as "HSALNT0274510". The record is from RNAcentral. Lineage: Eukaryota; Metazoa; Chordata; Mammalia; Primates; Hominidae.
CAGAUGGACAUGGUGGAGGCGGCCAUGCUGGAGUGGGGAGGAGGGCCAGUCAAAGCAGCAAGCCGAGAAAUAGAAAUGAGACGUGAACCUCUGUUAUUCGCAGGUGACACAAUUGUCCACCUAAAGAUCUGAGUCACUGCCAUUGUGACUGUCACUGGCCAUGUGCACCGGCUGGACGUGGGAUAAACUCACAGCCCCCAACAGCCCCUCCCUGCACACCUGCCUCGCCAUUGUGAUGGAAAUUCCAUCUGAACCUGGGGCCUCCAGCACGUGCCAGUCACUCCGCCCUCCAUGGCUGUUGUCAAACAAGCCCCUCCGACCUCUCAGGGGUGAUGUCUGUGAAGACUCAGCUCCCGACAAGAGCCUCUCAUCUGAAGACGCAGGGCAGUCAGCACUGGGAGCCAGGGUGAGAGCCGAAGGGAAGCCGAGGCAGCGGCGUUCCCUAAUGGAGUAUGAGGGGGAGGGUCCCACAGACCUGGAGCUGCAAAUUAUAGCAUGUGACUGUAGUGACAGCUUCGGUGAUCUUAGAAAAUGACCCCCUAGUAGCACUGAUGAUGAAGCUGGUGAGGUCGGAGCAUGUGGCUGCGCCAGGGAGCAUUCCAAGCACUUGGCAUCUAUUAAUUCACUGAAUUUCGGCAUUAACUUCUUGUCGAAGUUACUAUGGACAGACGCGGAAGCUUCAGCAGAGAGGUUGAGCAAUCUGCUCAAAGCCACACAGAAAACAGUGACAGAACCAGGACUAGAAGCCAGCCGGUCUGUACAUAGGAUCUACAUUCUCAACCAGUGAGUCUCCGAUUCUAAAAAUAAAAAAUGUUGAAGAUGAAAGACAGCAAGUCUUCAAUACCAAAUUUAAUACCAAACAGCUGGAUUAAAAAUUCACAUCAGAAGCAGAAGAGCAAAACUAAUACCACAGAGAAUCAAUUCAAUUUUAAGUCCAAACAUGAGUUCUUCCAAACGCCGAGGUAAAGGAUAAAAUUCACAAAUAUAAUGAGAGAAAAGAUAACAAACAGAGUGUAUAUUUAGCUGAGACAAAACCUGAAAAUUCAAUUGCUAGGGAGAAAAAAAAAUAAGAUCAAAGUAAUAAAGAAAUAAUUGAGGAUCAGGUAUUCUGGGCUGAAUGGACAGAGGUGUGUGUAUUUGGAGUAGAAGAACUUAAUGAAUUUCAAGAAAAUCAGGCCACCUAGACAUGCAUUGACGAGUUUUUCAAUGUAGAAGACCUAAGAACAGGCCUCUCACAGGCAAGACGAAUAAUACACGAUCUGGAAAUGAACUGCCUCAGGCUGACCUCAGACCCCUGUCCCACUAACCAGGGUAUGGCAAUAUCCUCAGGGCUUCCAGGGCAAUCUUUGGUGGACUAAGGCUCUAAUUUUCCUUUUUUCAAAUUAUUACAUCUUUCUCAAAUAAAGAUAACAGCGAUGUAUUUUCACAAAAGCAAGAGCUUAGAAAGUACUCCACCCAGGUAUCCCUCUUGGAAAAAAUGCUUAAGGAAAUAUGACAAAUGGCAAAGUGAUUGUUAUGGAUGGAAUGUUUGUAUCCUCCCAAAAUUCACAUGUUGAGACCCUAAUUCCAAUAUGAUGGUAUUAAGAGGUGGGGCCUUUGGGAGGUAAUUAGGUCAGGAGGGUGGAGCCCUCAAAAAUGGGAUUUGUGCCCUUUAAAGAAGAAACCGUGGAGAGAUUAUCUGGGCCACGUGAGGACAGCAAGAAGGUGGCUGUCUGUAGACCAGGAAGAGAGCCCUCUCCAGAGCACCACCAUGUGGCACCCUGACUGAUCCUGGACUUCCAGCUUCCAGAACUGGGAGAAAGAAAUGCCUGCUGCUCAAGACCCUCCAGUCCACGGCAAUUUGUUAUAGCAGCCCCAACUGACUGUGACAGAGAAGAAGCAAAGACAAGAGUUCCAGAACGUAGAAGCUGGGGUAUCAAAGGGCUGGCCCAGAUACAAAGACAGGAAGACACUGACCUAGGUCCAGAUAACCAAUGUGCUCAGUUAUAACUGCAAAUGCAAAUUUCACAUAUUUUAUAACAGAUGCAUACAACAGAUGCAUAUUCUACAUCCUAAUUGAAUGGCAGUGAUAAUAUUCUAAUACUUUACUGCAUGCUAGUGUGAGAGGCCGCUAACCACACGUGGCUCUUGAGUGCUUGAAAUGUGGCUCAUGCCAGUUGUGGAAAUGGUAACAUUCUGGAUGUACCGGGUUAAAUAAGAUCUAUUGUUAAAUUAAUUGCACCUGUUCCUUCUGCCAUCUUUAAAUGUGGCUGUUAUAAUAUUUAGGAUUGUAUGUGCGGUUCUGUUUCUACUGGAAUAUGCUGUAUGUUGUUUUCAAUCAAACAAGAAAGACUGAGAAGCGGGUGGGGGUGGAACCGUGGGCUGAUGUUGAGGAGAGCAAGAUUAAUUCUGUUUUAAAUAGAAAUUCUCGAAUUGCGGUUCCAUUCCUCACUUUAAUAGUUAAAAAAUAAGCAUAAAGGUAAACUUAAAAGCUAUUUAUUGGUACAAUUAAAAACAGAAUGUAUAUUUUUCAAAACAGCAAAUAAAAGUAGAAGAGAAAAAACAAACCGUGGUGGAUAUCCUAAAGACGGAAAAGCAACCGAAACAGGCGGAAACCUCAAAAGCAGAGAAGACCAUGAAAACGUGAGGAGGAGCAAAACAGCCAGUUGGAAAGGAAAGGAAAUUGCUCCUGAUGUUUCCUAUUAGAUGAGAACAUUUCUCAAAACGGUUUAUAAAAUAAAAACCGAAAUAAGGUAACUAAUGUCACCAUUAAACAGUAACGGGAGGGAAAAGAGACGUCUCCCAGGUCCGACGGCUGCCGGGGCCCACACAGAGCCUCCUCUCCCAUCCUCCCCAAGGGGUGACGGCACACAGCCUAGAAAUGGGGACUCCCGCACUAGCAGGGCCCCC